UGGUUUAUCUAUUAUGUAACUUUACCUAAUCCAUUCAAUACGUCCACUUGACCAUUACUAUACUAUAAACUCAUCAUGGUUCACUGUGCUAGAAGAACCAUUUGUGGUCCACUAACUAUCUCCAACCUAUCUAGUGCAACAUAACACCUUCACCUGCAACUCAAACCAUGCCACGCUAUUUAACUAUCUAAGGAGUAAUACCAGAAAAGACAAGCAAAUAAAAGUACCUGUUUAGUAUAAAUAUAACAAAAUAUAAACUUACCCAUACUUAUCUUCAAGGCUGCAUAAAAUAAAGAAAAGAAAAAAGGAAACGAAAAGAAGAAAAAGCAUCGUACCUAGUCAUUGAUACCAUGUUGGCGCACAGAAAAGCAAACUAUGUCUGAGGAGACCACAAAUUUAUUGUCCC
This 406-nucleotide long non-coding RNA is filed under the name Phaseolus vulgaris (common bean). RNAcentral's name for it is "long non-coding RNA (PVUL_LNC001243)". The record is from RNAcentral. Lineage: Eukaryota; Viridiplantae; Streptophyta; Magnoliopsida; Fabales; Fabaceae.